RNAcentral lists this ribosomal RNA (422 nucleotides) under uncultured bacterium. RNAcentral describes it as "bacterial SSU rRNA". It matches the Rfam family "Bacterial small subunit ribosomal RNA", at positions 28 to 433 of the family's 1533-position model. The record is from RNAcentral.
AGCGAACGCUGGCGGCGUACUUAACACAUGCAAGUCGAACGAGGAUCAUCGGGUUAGCAAUAAUUCGGUGGUUCUAGUGGCGUACGGGUGAGUAACACGUGGGUAACCUGCCCUUGAGUCCGGGAUACCCUCUCGAAAGGGAGGCUAAUACUGGAUACGUUCCCCGGGGCGCAAGACCUGGGGAGGAAAGGUGGCGCAAGCUACCGCCCUUGGAGGGGCUCGCGGCCUAUCAGCUAGUUGGUGAGGUAACGGCUCACCAAGGCUAUGACGGGUAGCUGGUCUGAGAGGACGACCAGCCACACGGGAACUGAGACACGGUCCCGACUCCUACGGGAGGCAGCAGUGGGGAAUUUUCCGCAAUGGGCGAAAGCCUGACGGAGUGACGCCGCGUGGGGGACGAAGGCCUUCGGGUCGUAAACCCC